This 462-nucleotide ribosomal RNA is filed under the name uncultured bacterium. Its description in RNAcentral is "partial 16S ribosomal RNA". It matches the Rfam family "Bacterial small subunit ribosomal RNA", at positions 28 to 507 of the family's 1533-position model. The record is from RNAcentral.
GACGAACGCUGGCGGCGUGCUUAACACAUGCAAGUCGAACGGUGAAGCCCUUCGGGGUGGAUCAGUGGCGAACGGGUGAGUAACACGUGAGCAACCUGCCCCUGGCUCUGGGACAACCACUGGAAACGGUGGCUAAUACCGGAUACGACCCGCCUCGGCAUCGAGUGUGGGUGGAAAGUUUUUCGGCUGGGGAUGGGCUCGCGGCCUAUCAGCUUGUUGGCGAGGUGAAGGCUCACCAAGGCGACGACGGGUAGCCGGCCUGAGAGGGCGACCGGCCACACUGGGACUGAGACACGGCCCAGACUCCUACGGGAGGCAGCAGUGGGGAAUAUUGCACAAUGGGCGAAAGCCUGAUGCAGCGACGCCGCGUGAGGGAUGACGGCCUUCGGGUUGUAAACCUCUUUCAGCUCCGAAGAAGCGAAAGUGACGGUAGGAGCAGAAGAAGCACCGGCUAACUACGUG